UACGUAGGGGGCAAGCGUUGUCCGGAUUUAUUGGGCGUAAAGCGCUCGCAGGUGGUCCGUCGCGUCGUGCGUGAAAGACCCCGGCUCAACUGGGGAGGGUCGUGCGAUACGGGCGGACUGGAGGCCAGUAGGGGGAUGCGGAAUUCCGGGUGUAGUGGUGGAAUGCGUAGAGAUCCGGAGGAACACCAGCGGCGAAGGCGGCAUCCUGGACUGGUCCUGACACUCAGGAGCGAAAACGUGGGGAGCGAUCCGG
This 253-nucleotide ribosomal RNA is filed under the name uncultured bacterium. RNAcentral's name for it is "partial 16S ribosomal RNA". It matches the Rfam family "Bacterial small subunit ribosomal RNA", at positions 524 to 776 of the family's 1533-position model. The record is from RNAcentral.